GAAUCUCGAAAGCCUGUCUCAGUUCGGAUUGGAGGCUGAAACCCGCCUCCAUGAAGUUGGAUUCGCUAGUAAUCGCGCAUCAGCCAUGGCGCGGUGAAUACGUUCCCGGGCCUUGUACACACCGCCCGUCAAGCCAUGGGAGCCGGGGGUGCCUGAAGUUCGUGACCGCAAGGAGCGACCUAGGGCAAAACUGGUGACUGGGGCUAAGUCGUAACAAGGUAGC
RNAcentral lists this ribosomal RNA (223 nucleotides) under uncultured bacterium. RNAcentral's name for it is "partial 16S ribosomal RNA". It matches the Rfam family "Bacterial small subunit ribosomal RNA", at positions 1269 to 1500 of the family's 1533-position model. The record is from RNAcentral.